This 349-nucleotide unclassified non-coding RNA is filed under the name soil metagenome. Its description in RNAcentral is "partial contains 5.8S ribosomal RNA, internal transcribed spacer 2, and large subunit ribosomal RNA". The stretch from base 1 to 120 matches the Rfam family "5.8S ribosomal RNA", at positions 35 to 154 of the family's 154-position model. The record is from RNAcentral.
GAUGAAGAACGCAGCGAAAUGCGAUAAGUAAUGUGAAUUGCAGAAUUCAGUGAAUCAUCGAAUCUUUGAACGCACAUUGCGCCCGCCAGUAUUCUGGCGGGCAUGCCUGUCUGAGCGUCAUUUCAACCCUCAUGCCCCUAGGGCGUGGUGUUGGGGAUCGGCCAAAGCCCGCAAGGGACGGCCGGCCCCUAAAUCUAGUGGCGGACCGGUCGUGGCCUCCCCUGCGAAGUAGUGAUAUUCCACAUAGGAGAAGCGACGAGCCCCUGCCGUUAAACCCCCAACUUUCUCAGGUUGACCUCAGAUCAGGUAGGAAUACCCGCUGAACUUAAGCAUAUCAAUAAGCGGAGGA